This 263-nucleotide ribosomal RNA is filed under the name uncultured bacterium. RNAcentral's name for it is "partial 16S ribosomal RNA". It matches the Rfam family "Bacterial small subunit ribosomal RNA", at positions 1237 to 1500 of the family's 1533-position model. The record is from RNAcentral.
CAACAGAGGGAAGCAAGACCGCGAGGUGGAGCAAAUCCCUAAAAGCCAUCCCAGUUCGGAUUGCAGGCUGCAACCCGCCUGUAUGAAGUUGGAAUCGCUAGUAAUCGCGGAUCAGCAUGCCGCGGUGAAUACGUUCCCGGGCCUUGUACACACCGCCCGUCACACCAUGAGAGUCGGGAACACCCGAAGUCCGUAGCCUAACCGCAAGGGGGGCGCGGCCGAAGGUGGGUUCGAUAAUUGGGGUGAAGUCGUAACAAGGUACC